Oncorhynchus mykiss (rainbow trout) is the source of this 1203-nucleotide non-coding RNA. NCBI's taxonomy places the organism in Eukaryota, Metazoa, Chordata, Actinopteri, Salmoniformes, Salmonidae. The record is from RefSeq and is a predicted model, not a curated record.
UUGACCUCAAUCUGCUGGUACUUGAUCCCAUCUGCUGCCUGUGGCUGAUUUCUUCCCGGAGGACCUGAUUCGAGAAAUCGUCAACGUGGAUUUCCUUGCCAAGCUGGAUUCCCAGUUAGAAAGUUUGUUAUAUAAUUAUAUUAGAAAUAUCCCAAUGAAGACAAAGCCAGCAUCCUGUAUCCCCUACUAUCUGAAAACAUUCUUUUCAGAUAAAGCUAAAGGGAUAAGAGAACCUCUCUGUUAUGUGGUAGCCCUGCCUGACGUGCAGGCGGAUCCGCCUGUGUCUCACGGAGCUGAAUCGGUCUGUGUGGUUGGAGUGUCCAGAGCGGAUUGGUGUUAAACUCAAAAGGUAAUCAAAUGUGUCACCUGUUCUAGUUGUGAGCUGUAUUUCUUCUGAUCUCCCUAGACUUUGAAUGUGUUCUGGACAGACACCACCAGGCAGUGGCCUACAGUGAGCAGAGCCAGCUGCAGAUUUUUUUUCUCCCUUUUUCACUUACUCAGUGUUACUGUGGACGUCUUGGAUUCCAAAUCAUUCUACAAACCGUCUCGUCACAUGAAAGGGGAAAUCAUGAUGAGAAAGACAUCUGGAGAUUCUGGGACACCAUGUUGUCCAGAUCCCUCAUUUUGAAUGGAACUAUAUGGAGCUCUCCACACUGGAUGCAUGGAAGGAAUACCUUAGGAAGAAGAUAGUUACUGAGCUUUCCUGAAGCACCUAGAUGUUGGAUCAAUGACAUGAAUAAUUUUGCACGCCCAAUUUUUCAGUUUUUGAUUUGUUAAAAAAGUUUGAAAUAUCCAAUAAAUGUCGUUCCACUUCAUGAUUGUGUCCCACUUGUUGUUGAUUCUUCACAAAAAAAUACUGUUUUAUAUCUUUAUGUUUGAAGCCUGAAAUGUGGCAAAAGGUUGCAAAGUUCAAGGGGGCCGAAUACUUUCGCAAGGCACUGUAUAUUGCUUUUGCUACUGAUGUGAGAGACAAAGUCUGCCUUUGGAAAUGUAUAUUUGCAGGCAGAUCAUUAACAAUUGCUGUUAUUGCCUACUCCGAAUCCUAGAGUGGACAUGCAGUUAUCUCACCUCCUGCCAAGAGAUUGUAUCAUAUGAAGUGUAACGUUUGUCAAACAAUAGUAAAUGUGUGUAAUAAGAAAUAGCAUUGUUUUUGUGGUAUUGAUACAUCCAAAUAAUCUGUCCCACAUAAAUAAAAUACAAAAA